GUCUUGGUAGCUCAGUUGGUUAGAGCAUGGUGCUGAUAAUGCCAAGGUUGAAGGUUUGAUGCCCUUAUGGGACA
This is a non-coding RNA of Podarcis lilfordi (Lilford's wall lizard), 74 nucleotides long. NCBI's taxonomy places the organism in Eukaryota, Metazoa, Chordata, Lepidosauria, Squamata, Lacertidae. The record is from the annotation of a GenBank genome assembly.